CUUGAGGCUGCCGAGCCACAACGGCCGGUCUGCCGGGCGGUCCUUGCCGUAGGUGGCGAGCAGGGCUUGGGCUUC
Non-coding RNA from Frankia sp., 75 nucleotides. It matches the Rfam family "ASpks TB sRNA". NCBI's taxonomy places the organism in Bacteria, Bacillati, Actinomycetota, Actinomycetes, Frankiales, Frankiaceae. The record is from Rfam.